UCCAAGUUAAAAAAAAAAUAGAAAAGGAAAGGGAAAAAAAAAGGAGAGAUCUAGAAACGGUCGUCUCUUCUUGGCCGACGAACAAUCAGAUUGAAAUUGAUGGUGCUAUUCAAAGUUAUACAACAUAUAUUUGAGAAAGACAACUUCAGAAAUAAGAAAUCGAAAGAUCCUUAUGUAAAAGGUUUAGUUUUCACAGAUGAAGAGUUUCUUAGAUCUGAAAUUAUGUCACAGAAGAAGAUCAACCGUAUCAAAUGUUGGGGACUUUAACACAUCUGAAGAAUCGAACAAAGUUAAAUCAGACAUAUAAUCUGAGUUCAGAUGUAAUGGUGGUGCUGCUCCGUGGUGAUACAAUUAGCUGAAGAAAUCCCCUAUAUAUUAAAAGAGAAGCAUUACAAUAUAUUUUUGUAGCCACAUGUCAUCAC
Long non-coding RNA from Brassica rapa (field mustard), 422 nucleotides. RefSeq lists it as uncharacterized. NCBI's taxonomy places the organism in Eukaryota, Viridiplantae, Streptophyta, Magnoliopsida, Brassicales, Brassicaceae. The record is from RefSeq and is a predicted model, not a curated record.